GAUGAAGAAACGUAGCGAAAUGCGAUAAGUAAUGCGAAUUGCAGAAUUCAGUGAGUCAUCGAAUCUUUGAACGCACAUUGCGCCCCUUGGCAUUCCGAGGGGCACACCUGUUCGAGCGUCAUUUCACCAGUCAAGCUUCGCUUGGUGUUGGGCCCUCUCGUCCCCGGUGCUCCCGUCCAUGGAGCGGGGGACGGGCCCCAAAGACCUCGGCGGCGCGGUCCUGCUCCGGUGCGUAGCGGCCUAUACCUCGCUCGUGGGGUCAGGACCGAUGCCUCAGCCGCUAAAAGUGGGGAAGGGGGACUCGCGCCCUCUCUCUCCCUCUCUCUAGGUUGACCUCGGAUCAGGUGGGGAUACCCGCUGAACUUAAGCAUAUCAAUAAGCGGAGGA
This 387-nucleotide unclassified non-coding RNA is filed under the name soil metagenome. RNAcentral's name for it is "partial contains 5.8S ribosomal RNA, internal transcribed spacer 2, and large subunit ribosomal RNA". The stretch from base 1 to 121 matches the Rfam family "5.8S ribosomal RNA", at positions 35 to 154 of the family's 154-position model. The record is from RNAcentral.